This 332-nucleotide long non-coding RNA is filed under the name Daucus carota (carrot). RNAcentral's name for it is "long non-coding RNA (DCAR_LNC001896)". The record is from RNAcentral. Lineage: Eukaryota; Viridiplantae; Streptophyta; Magnoliopsida; Apiales; Apiaceae.
CCAAGAUCUGGGGGGUAGUUGUUAUAUGCGAAUUUGUCAAGAUCAGCUAAAUGGGCCGAGCCCAUCAAAGGAGGUUUGUUCAGCCCAAGAAAGUCAAGAUCACUUCAGUCUCAGAGUAACCCUGUCAAAAGAUAGGGCGCGCCCUAUCUUUAGGCGCGCCCACUUGCCGAGGAAAGUUCAUUUUGUCAUAAUUUUGAAGGGCAGUGAGAAGGUACUUAAUGUUUAGGGGGACGCCCUUGAACACGAGUAGAUCUCAUUGUUAAAUUAAGAAGACCCUACCUUGUAGUCUAGGGAGUUGUCCUCCUUGGGAGGUAGAGGAUAGAGAAGAAGAC